RNAcentral lists this ribosomal RNA (1349 nucleotides) under Arthrobacter sp. D1-1-1. RNAcentral describes it as "bacterial SSU rRNA". It matches the Rfam family "Bacterial small subunit ribosomal RNA", at positions 78 to 1438 of the family's 1533-position model. Lineage: Bacteria; Bacillati; Actinomycetota; Actinomycetes; Micrococcales; Micrococcaceae. The record is from RNAcentral.
GCUUGCUGGGGGAUUAGUGGCGAACGGGUGAGUAACACGUGAGUAACCUGCCCUUAACUCUGGGAUAAGCCUGGGAAACUGGGUCUAAUACCGGAUAUGACUCCUCAUCGCAUGGUGGGGGGUGGAAAGCUUUAUUGUGGUUUUGGAUGGACUCGCGGCCUAUCAGCUUGUUGGUGAGGUAAUGGCUCACCAAGGCGACGACGGGUAGCCGGCCUGAGAGGGUGACCGGCCACACUGGGACUGAGACACGGCCCAGACUCCUACGGGAGGCAGCAGUGGGGAAUAUUGCACAAUGGGCGAAAGCCUGAUGCAGCGACGCCGCGUGAGGGAUGACGGCCUUCGGGUUGUAAACCUCUUUCAGUAGGGAAGAAGCGAAAGUGACGGUACCUGCAGAAGAAGCGCCGGCUAACUACGUGCCAGCAGCCGCGGUAAUACGUAGGGCGCAAGCGUUAUCCGGAAUUAUUGGGCGUAAAGAGCUCGUAGGCGGUUUGUCGCGUCUGCCGUGAAAGUCCGGGGCUCAACUCCGGAUCUGCGGUGGGUACGGGCAGACUAGAGUGAUGUAGGGGAGACUGGAAUUCCUGGUGUAGCGGUGAAAUGCGCAGAUAUCAGGAGGAACACCGAUGGCGAAGGCAGGUCUCUGGGCAUUAACUGACGCUGAGGAGCGAAAGCAUGGGGAGCGAACAGGAUUAGAUACCCUGGUAGUCCAUGCCGUAAACGUUGGGCACUAGGUGUGGGGGACAUUCCACGUUUUCCGCGCCGUAGCUAACGCAUUAAGUGCCCCGCCUGGGGAGUACGGCCGCAAGGCUAAAACUCAAAGGAAUUGACGGGGGCCCGCACAAGCGGCGGAGCAUGCGGAUUAAUUCGAUGCAACGCGAAGAACCUUACCAAGGCUUGACAUGAACCGGUAAUACCUGGAAACAGGUGCCCCGCUUGCGGUCGGUUUACAGGUGGUGCAUGGUUGUCGUCAGCUCGUGUCGUGAGAUGUUGGGUUAAGUCCCGCAACGAGCGCAACCCUCGUUCUAUGUUGCCAGCGCGUUAUGGCGGGGACUCAUAGGAGACUGCCGGGGUCAACUCGGAGGAAGGUGGGGACGACGUCAAAUCAUCAUGCCCCUUAUGUCUUGGGCUUCACGCAUGCUACAAUGGCCGGUACAAAGGGUUGCGAUACUGUGAGGUGGAGCUAAUCCCAAAAAGCCGGUCUCAGUUCGGAUUGGGGUCUGCAACUCGACCCCAUGAAGUCGGAGUCGCUAGUAAUCGCAGAUCAGCAACGCUGCGGUGAAUACGUUCCCGGGCCUUGUACACACCGCCCGUCAAGUCACGAAAGUUGGUAACACCCGAAGCCGGUGGCCUAA